Molecule: ribosomal RNA, 253 nt
Filed under: uncultured bacterium
Lineage: Bacteria
Description: partial 16S ribosomal RNA
Rfam family: Bacterial small subunit ribosomal RNA
Source: RNAcentral
UACGUAGGGUGCGAGCGUUAAUCGGAAUUACUGGGCGUAAAGCGUGCGCAGGCGGUUUUGUAAGCCAGAUGUGAAAUCCCCGGGCUCAACCUGGGAAUGGCAUUUGGGACUGCAAGGCUGGAGUACGGCAGAGGAGACUGGAAUUCCUGGUGUAGCAGUGAAAUGCGUAGAGAUCAGGAGGAAUACCGAUGGCGAAGGCAGGUCUCUGGGCUGAUACUGACACUGAGAAGCGAAAGCGUGGGGAGCGAACAGG